GUGAAUUUGACAACUAGCUUAAAAGAUGGCCGAUAAUAGUAUUGUGUGGAUGCUUAUUUCCAUUAUUUUUCUUUGUAUUUUUUUAUACAAUGAAGUAAAAUUUUUCAGUUAUUUGUUUGGAUAGUAAGAAACUAGAGGAAAUAGGAGAGAAAAAAUAGAAGAAAGGAAGAAGCAAAAGGUAGAACACUGAGAUUCAAGGAAGGAGAUUGUUACUUAAG
This 218-nucleotide unclassified non-coding RNA is filed under the name Hevea brasiliensis (rubber tree). The record is from RNAcentral. Lineage: Eukaryota; Viridiplantae; Streptophyta; Magnoliopsida; Malpighiales; Euphorbiaceae.